Cebus imitator (Panamanian white-faced capuchin) is the source of this 1318-nucleotide long non-coding RNA. RefSeq lists it as uncharacterized. The record is from RefSeq and is a predicted model, not a curated record. Lineage: Eukaryota; Metazoa; Chordata; Mammalia; Primates; Cebidae. The transcript has 4 exons.
CCCCCAACGACCGUGCUGGGCACCAAACCCCAACGCCUCAUGCCAGUGACAUCAACAGCAAGUACGGGCCUGGCUCCUGGAACCCGCGCAGCUCAAGGCUGGAAUUGUGCAAUUAAACCUGAGGCAUGUUUCCCAUGUCAAAUGGGUUUAUGGGGGUAGUCACGAAGCCAGACUCGCUCAUGUUCUGUCUGGAGACUUGGCACACGUGAACCAGGGACAUCAAUCCGGUGUGUGUGAGAGUGUGUGUGUGUGUGUGUGUGUGUGUGUGUGUGUGUGACAGGUUUAAUAUUUUGGUUGGCCCAAUGUCAAAUUCUUCAAACAGCAAAGAGAAACAUCCAAGAAAGAAACUCCCCGGGUUUUGAGAGGGCAAGUCUGCUGUGAGCCCCAUUUUGAAACACCAUGGUGUGGCCAGGAUGGGCUCUGCUCCCGGAGCUUCCGCGCAAGAGUGCCGCGGUCCCCCCUGGAGUGGCCGGACAGCCGCGGCCAGUUCCACCACGAAGCCCAGGCGCGACCGAAGGGCUGCAGGCGUGGAAGACCCGGACAUCCCCGUGAGAUGGCCAGCGAACCAGAGCCCGUGGCUUUCGGUGGGGGGCGCCCCGGAGGGAGGUCGGGUCCCCAGAGGGACACACCUGGACCGGCCGGACCAGGGCGCGCCAGGCGGGGCGAGCUGCCGGCCGGGGUCUGCACCCAAGGGGCGGGUCGGACCCCACCUGCCUUUUGCCAAGGAGGAAACUAACUGCCGCCAGCACCACCCCUUCCCGGGAGCCGCAGGUGGUGGCGGACGAGUUCUCCCAGCUCCCAGGUGGAGGCUGCGACUCCACUCGCGGGAACGAGGCUCGCGGGGGCUGGGAGACGGGCCGGGGCCAGGCUGACCCACGCCGGCUUCAGCAGCCAGACUCGCUGGGCAGAGCGCAGCCAGCAAAGCCAGGAGCGCCGCCCCGGCCGCCCCGGAGGGUCGCAUCGCUGCUCCCCGAAGAGCUCGCUCCGGCGCUCCCUGAUCAGUCCUGGACGGAGUCAGGCGGCCGUGCGCGGUGGCUGUGGCGGCGGCGAGGCGGGGACUCGGGCGGACGCCGCCGAGGAAAAAUGUCCUCUAGGUCCAUGUUACAGACCCCUCCUCUUCACAAGGUUCACUAGGACUUUCAGGCCUGAUUCAACAACCCCGAUUUUCCGGCUCUGUCAGGAACCAUAAUCCUGAAGACAGCCACUGCGGGUUGAAGUCAGCCUCUGGAUGCAGAGGCUGUGAAGGCUUUGCAGGCACGUGUGUGCUUCCUCCACAUAUGCACACCUGGGCUGAGAGCAGUCCAAAUAGAAACACAGA